This 229-nucleotide unclassified non-coding RNA is filed under the name plant metagenome. Its description in RNAcentral is "partial contains small subunit ribosomal RNA, internal transcribed spacer 1, and 5.8S ribosomal RNA". The record is from RNAcentral.
UCUCCGUAGGUGAACCUGCGGAGGGAUCAUUACAGAGUUCAUGCCCUACCGGGUAGAUCUCCCACCCUAUGUUAUUAUUACUUUGUUGCUUUGGCGGGCCGUUAGGCUCCGGCCCGACUACCGGCCCCGGCUGGUAAGGGCCCGCCAGAGGACCCAAAACCCUGAAUAUUAGUGUCGUCUGAGUACUAUAUAAUAGUUAAAACUUUCAACAACGGAUCUCUUGGUUCUG